UGUGGGCGAGGGGCCCGAGGAUCUUGGUGAGAUCUUUGUGGCUGUAGUCCUGUGUCGGAUCGUGUGACAUCAGGGCGCUCAGGUUGUCGUCGAGCUGUUCCCAGCUCAGGUGCUGCAGGCCGCCGGCGGCUUCAGCCAGGAGGGUACCAGUUAUAGCACUCAGCCAGGACUCUAGUCGAUCCCAGUGGGCAUCAGGGCUGGAUGAUCGAGACAUGCUGGCUCACUGGUGAAGAGGGAGAGAGAGCGAGAGAGAGAGAGAGG
Molecule: long non-coding RNA, 261 nt
Organism: Sinocyclocheilus rhinocerous
Lineage: Eukaryota; Metazoa; Chordata; Actinopteri; Cypriniformes; Cyprinidae
Exons: 3
Source: RefSeq, a predicted model, not a curated record